AGGGAAUAUUAGUAAUGGGCGAAAGCCUGAACUAGCGACACCGCGUGUGCGAAGAAGGCCUUCGGGUUGUAAAGCACUUUUAGAGAGGAUGAGGAAGGACGGUACUCUCUGAAUAAGUCUCGGCUAACUACGUGCCAGCAGCCGCGGUAACACGUAGGAGGCAAACGUUAUCCGGAUUUACUGGGCGUAAGGCGCGUGUAGGUGGUUCUGUAAGUAGGGCGUGAAAGCUCCCGGCUCAACUGGGAGAGGCCGUUCUAAACUGCAGAGCUAGAGGAUGGUAGAGGGAGGUGGAAUUCCGGGUGUAGCGGUGGAAUGCGCAGAUAUCCGGAGGAACACCAGUGGCGAAGGCGACCUCCUGGGCCACUCCUGACACUCAGACGCGAAAGCUAGGGUAGCAAACGG
RNAcentral lists this ribosomal RNA (402 nucleotides) under uncultured bacterium. RNAcentral's name for it is "bacterial SSU rRNA". It matches the Rfam family "Bacterial small subunit ribosomal RNA", at positions 356 to 775 of the family's 1533-position model. The record is from RNAcentral.